GAGGCCGCGGCGGCCCCGGGGAAGGGGUGCGGGAGGCCUCGGCCCUCCCGCCGGGUGGCGGGUGGCCCGGCAUAGCGCUUCCCCCCCCGCCCCAUCCCAGCGGGAGGAGGAGGAGGAGGAGGAGGAAGGCGGCGGGGGCUGCCGGUGCCGCCGCCUCGCCCACACCGGCGGCCGGCCCCGCGGAGCCGCCGCCCGUCGCGCCUGCGGGGCGGUGGCGCCCCACCCCUCCCCCCACCCGAGCACUCCCCCGCCCUGGGCCUCGUCGGCCGCCGUCCGUCUCCCCAGGUGAACGCGUAUCCCUCCGCCGCGGCCGCCCCCACCGUCGGGCUCGCAGCCCUGCAGUCCCCGGAUGGAAACUGUUAUGGCCGCCAACAGCGCCUCGCCGGGCUAUGGAGAGCGGCGAGACCUUUUUGCAGUAUUCCUCCUGACUGUGGCCUUUUCUGAGUCUUACAUAUUUACCUCUUCUAUGUGUGUGGAAAAACGUUGAAAAGGCUGUUGAAGAAUUGAACUCAAGUCUUUUCUUCAUGUGUAAGUCUGACUUCUUGUUUGGUAAUGUACAUUUAAAGAUCCAUGGAAUUUAUUUUUUUUUAUUACUAGUUGGCUGUUUCUAGUAAAUAUUUUUAUUUGUCGUUCUGCAGGUGCUUGUCAAUAGUACAUGCUACCCAAUAAUAACAAGGUUAAAUUGUAAUUUGUGUGGUUAAUUAGUUAAAGGAGAUUUCAAAUCAGGUUUGCAUAUCCCCAACUGAGACUCUUUGCCAAACAUAAAUGUUUUAUCCAGUUAGCAAAAUGUUGCCCAACUGAGGACAAUGUUGGCCCCAUGUUAAAAGUCUGAGGCUUGUUCCCUGCAGCAUAGUUUACCCACUUUGGAUUUUUAUAGUGUUAAUUGCAUACGUAUUUCAGCUGUUAGUAUUUGACAGUGUAACAUUUUAAUCUGAAUGAUAGGCAGCUACCAUCAGGAUGAUGUAUUGCAUCAUGCAACCUGUGAUCGUUAUGCGUUGCAUCUGUGUAUUAAUAAAGUUCUUCAAGCUAACAAGUCCAAGUCACUUUUAGUUACUUAUUCUUUAUGUGGGAGUUCAGCUUGCUCCUGUUCAAAUAAGGGAUUUACCAUGGACAAGAGAAAGUGUUAUAAUACGGUACUCUCUUGGUGAAAAUGGAGUGUAAUGUAGGUGAGUUGUUCUCUUCUGAAGGCUCAAAGUGGAGUAAUAUCCCAUGUAUUAAUCUCCUCUGUGGAAGAGGGGAAAUGUAUCAUUGAGUUUAAAAAUAAAAAUCCUGUACCUAAAUUGUUUUAGUUUGGAAAGACUCCCAAGGAGGGAGUGUGUGUGCGCCCAUGUCUGUGAUAUGUAGGGGUUUUUUGGUUUUUUUGAAUGUCAAAUGUAUAGUUGAAAUAUUACAGGUCUCAUAGCUGAAGAACACAGUUAAUUGAAUUUAUUUGAUAUUGGAGUCUGUAUAAAAUGUCAAAGUCUGUUUUGCUUAUUAUUGUCAAGAAUUGUGCAGAAAUGCUAAUAUCUUUUCCAAAGGAAUGCAAUAAAGCAUAUGCUUAAAAAAAAAAAAAGCUUUUCUUGCUAUGUGAUAUGCGAACAUUGCCUUGAAAAUUUUGCAGUCUCCAUUUUCUUUGUCAGGUAUUUACAUGUGUGAUGCUAGAUACUUCCUUCUCACAGGACUAUAGGAAAAUAUUUGCAAGACAGUGGUGAUGCUUAUGAUGGCCUGGAGCUCUAGAAGCAGUUCUUGAACUUCAUCACAAUGAGGGAGGGGAUGUGGUCAUUCUUUCAGUUUGAAUGUGAAUAAAGAGGAUGAUGUAAUGAGUUCCAAGUCUGUUGCUUCAGGGUGGGCAGGAGAACAGUGGAGAGAGAGCUGCUGAUCAGAUUUCAGCUAACACUUCACUAACUUUUGCUAGUAAAGAAGAAAGUGAUGCUGUGACUUCUACUACAGAAAAGUUUUUAGUAAAAAGUGUUAUAGAGUAGUGAAGAAACAGUUCUUCAUUUUCAGUUUCACUUUUUGAAAUUCAAGUUAUUUUCGCUGCUAUUCCAUUUCUAUUGAUUUUAUGCUGACAUGUGGGAGUGUUGUUUCAGCAUACACUUGAGCUACUAUAAAUUGUCAGUGCAGCCUGUUAUAGAAACACUGAUAUUAAGUCUGUAGCAAGACAAUGAUGCUGACCAUACCUGUUUCAGCCUCUUAAUCCAUAGAGGAGUACUGUUGUCAGUCAUGCACUUGCUCUGAAAAGAUUAACCUAUACCCAGGAACAUAUGGUGAGGAAACAGGGGUAAUAUUAUAUUUGUUGACUACUUCAGACUUGUGUGAUACUGAAGGUAGGCAUGCGAAAAAUUCAUUGUAGAGGAGUGUGGUGGGUUUUUUGGUGUUGAUAAGGGUAAUGUCUCCAUUAGUGAAGUAGAUCUUUUGUCAGACUUCGAUUUUGUUUUUUUCUUUUCUUUUUAAGCACAAUAGUUAGCUACCAAUAGAGUAGCAGACUUGAGUAACAAAAGUAUCAACUCCUCCUGCUGAAUUUGACUUGUGUUUAGUACUUCAGCUAGGUUCGGCUAGUGAUCCAUGUCACAGAGGAGCUGCUGUGUUUAUAUUUGCUUCAAAUCCUGAAUAAUAAAUGCUAGCUUCAUCUUAAAGAAGCAGCUUGUGGGAUUUCUCAUGCUUACAGACUGUCCUGG
RNAcentral lists this long non-coding RNA (2657 nucleotides) under Accipiter nisus (Eurasian sparrowhawk). Its description in RNAcentral is "lncRNA (ENSANIG00000005728.1)". Lineage: Eukaryota; Metazoa; Chordata; Aves; Accipitriformes; Accipitridae. The record is from RNAcentral.